This 364-nucleotide long non-coding RNA is filed under the name Pogona vitticeps (central bearded dragon). RNAcentral describes it as "lncRNA (ENSPVIG00000012510.1)". Lineage: Eukaryota; Metazoa; Chordata; Lepidosauria; Squamata; Agamidae. The record is from RNAcentral.
AAGAAGUCCAGGCCCUGCCAGAAAGCAAAGCAAAGCAAAUUCCCUACUGAAAAGACUUACAGCCUUUUUACAGCAGACAAAACAACUAGCCUGCCCUACCACUACAUUCAUCUGAAGCUCUCCUUCUGAAUCCUCUUGCCCUCUUCCCACUGGCUCACAAUUUGAAGCUUCUGCUUCUUUGUGCUGUUCAUACCGUCUUCUCUCUGGUGGUAAUCCUGCAUGCAACCUACACCAUUUAAAGCAGCAGGGACCUUGCUGGAUGGAGCAAAGCAGAAGUAUUAAUUAUGAUAGAAGUUCUUCCGUGGAUGGACACCACUUCCUGCUUUCAGCCCAUGAAGAGAGUACACUAAGGUAAUUGCAAUCA